This is a long non-coding RNA of Salvia splendens (bonfire salvia), 1024 nucleotides long. RefSeq lists it as uncharacterized. The transcript has 3 exons. The record is from RefSeq and is a predicted model, not a curated record. Lineage: Eukaryota; Viridiplantae; Streptophyta; Magnoliopsida; Lamiales; Lamiaceae.
UCAAAGCGUGGGAGGCCACAAACAAAUGAUGAUGAAGAACAGCCUGCUAGAAAGAAACAGGCUAAAGGAAAGUGUAAUACCCAUUUUUUUUUCUUCUAUCUUUUUAAGUUAAUAUUUUGUUUUAAGAACGAGCGAGUGAUAGACCUUGAAUAAAAUACCGUGUUGUUUCGAUUGGUUGUGAAUGCUUGAAUUAUUGUUGAUUAAUUGUAUGGUGUAAGUUGUCGACGAGUUCGACAUGAGAGUCGUCGAUGGGAAAAUUUGGGCGUUCGUUUACAAUGUACUUGGAAUAACACCAAAGUACUAAAUUAAUAAAACACCACAAUUUAAUCAAUGUACUAAAAUUAUAUAUUUUUGGGCCUAUCACUUUUGUCUAUUUUUUUAGCCCAUUUAUCCUUAUUCAAUUGGACUAUUUUUAAUAUAGCCAUUUAUUCCUAAUUCCUAUUUCAUUCCUGCAGCCAACAUAAAUCUCUUCCUCUAAACCCUCCUACACGUUUUCUUUAUUCACCAAAACCUCUACUCCUAAAAUCUCUCCACCACUCCUUAAAAAUCUCCAACCAAAUACUCUAUUAACUCCAUUUAUACAUCUCCUCCCACAAUCUCAACAAACCGUCUGGAGGAGAAACCCAAAGAGUUGUUAUCUUUUCAAUACCUUCUCUUCUGCAAGUUCUGCUUCUUCCGUGAAGGGUGAACUUGUGCACGUUGUUGCGGUUUGGAACAGAAAGUGAUUAAGGAGUAAGCUUUUGAGAUUGAGCGGCGAUGGGCGUGGAGGAUGUUGAGCAGAGUUCAUGGAUUGUUCUGUCAUGAUUAAUAAUGUUGGAUUUGUCGUGUCUUCAUACUCGGCAUUUUCCGUGUCUUGAACGCUUCCGCUAUGAGUACUUUUCUUUAGAAUUGUUUAUUCGUGCAGAGUCUAACUCGUUUGAAAAUUGUUUAUUGUCCAUUCUUUAUUCACUUAGAGUUGGUAUUAUUGUUAGGAUAAUAUUAUGACGUUUUAAAAGUUAAUUCAAUUAUUAAAUUUUUGGUCAAA